This 1856-nucleotide ribosomal RNA is filed under the name Hevea brasiliensis (rubber tree). RNAcentral's name for it is "SSU rRNA". It matches the Rfam family "Eukaryotic small subunit ribosomal RNA". Lineage: Eukaryota; Viridiplantae; Streptophyta; Magnoliopsida; Malpighiales; Euphorbiaceae. The record is from RNAcentral.
CUGGUUGAUUCCUGCCAGUAGUCCCAUAUGCUUGUCUCAAAGAUUAAGCAUGCAUGUGUAACGUAUGAACUAAUUCAGCAGCCUGGAACUGCGAUGGGCUCAUUAAAUCAUUAUAGUUUGUUUGAUGGUAUCUCUACUGACGGGAUAACCGUAGUAAAAUUCUAGAGCGUAAUACGUGCAACAAACCCCGACUUCUGGAAGGGAUGCUUUAUUAGAUAAAAGGUCGACCGCGGGCUCUGCCCGUUGCUCUGAUGAUUCAUGAUAACUCGACGGAUCGCAAACGCCAAUUGCGUGCCGGUCGAGCAUCAUUCAAAUGUCGCCCAUCAACUUUCGAUGGUAGGGAGAGAGUACCAUGGUGGUGACGGGUGACGGAGAAUUAGGGUUGCGAUUCUGGAGAGGGAGCCUGAGAAACACGGCUAAACCACAUCCAAGGAAGGCAGCAAGGCGCGCAAAUUAAACCCAAUUCCUGACACAUCGGGGUGAGGUAGUCGACAAUAAAAGACAAAUACCGGCUCUUCGGAAUCUGGUAAAUUGGAAUGAGUACAGAUCUAAAUCCCUUAAACGAGGAUCCAUUGAGGGGCAAGUCUGGUGCCAGCAGCCCGCGGUAUGUCCAGCUCCAAUAGCGUAUAUUUAAGUUGUUGCAGUUAAAAAGCUCGUAGUUGGACCUUGGGUUGGGUCGACGUCCGCCUCAGCGGUGUGGCACCUGUGGCUCGUCCUUCUGCGGCGAUGCGGCUCCUGGCCUUAACUGGCCGGGUCGUGCUCCCGGCGCUGUACUUUGAAGAAAUUAGAGUGCUCAAAGCAGCCUACGCUCUGAUACAUAGCAUGGAUACAUAUAGGCAUUUGGUCUAUUGUGUUGGCCUUCGAGGGAUCGGAAGUAAUGAUUAACAGGGAGCCAGUCGGGGUGGCCAUUCGUAUUUCAACUAGUCAGAGGUGAAAUUCUUGGAAUUUAUGAAAGACGAACAACUGCCGAAAGCAUUUUGCCAAGGUAUGUUUUCAUUAUCAACGAACGCAAAGUUGGGGGUCGACAGACGAUCAGGAUACGUCCUAGAGUCUCACCAUAAACGAUGCCGACCCAGGGAUCGGCGAUGUUGCUUUUAGGACCCGCCGCAGCCUUAUGCAGAAAUCAAAAGUCUUUGGGUUCCGGGGGAGUAUGGUCGGCAGAGGCGAAACUUAAAGGGAAUUGGACGAAGGGCACCACUAGGGAGUGGAGGCCUGCGGCUUAAUUUUGACUCCAACACGGGGAAACUUACCAGGUCCAGACAUAGUUAAGGAUUGACAGACUGAGAGCUCUUUCUUGAUUCUAUGGGUGGUGGUGGCAUGGCCGUUCUUAGUUGGUAGGAGGCGAUUUGUCUGGUUUAAUUCCGUUUAACGAACGAGACUCAGCCUGCUAACUAGCUAUGGCGGGAGGUGACCCUCGGGCCAGCUUCUUAGAAGGGACUAAUGGCCUUUUAGGCCAAGGAAGUUUGAGGCAAUAACAGGUCUGUGAUGCCCUUAGAUGUUCUGGCCGCACGCGCCGCUACAGCCUGAUGUAUUCAACAGUCUAUAGCCGUGGCCGAGCAGGCCCCGGGUAAAAUCUUUGAAAUUUAUCGUGAUGGGGAUAAGAUCAUUUGCAAUUGUUGGUCUUCACGAGGAAUUCCUAGUAAGCGCGAGUCAUCCCGCUCGCGUUGACUACGUCCCUGCCCUUUGUACAGACACGCCCAGUCGUCUAACCGAUUGAAUGGUCGCGGUGAAGUGUUCGGAUCGCGAACGACGUGGCGGUUCGCCGGCCGCGAACGUCGGCGAGAAAGUCCACCUGAACCUUAUCAUUAAGCGAAGGCAGUAUUCGUAACAGGUUUCCGUAGUGAACCCUGCGGAAG